AGAAAAGCUUGGUUUAAAAUUAAAAAAACAGUCUCUUUAGAUAAUUCCUGCAGUAUGCUUGAAAAAUUAUUUGAUACUUUAGUUGUUCCAAUAACUCUUUAUGGAAGUGAAGUUUGGGGUGUAAGCCAAGUGUUCAAAGAUUCAGAUCCAUUUGAACAUUUACAUAUUAAAUUUAUUAAAGAAAUUUUAGGAGUACAGUGCAAAACAACAAAUGUAGCCUGUUUAACUGAGACAAACAGAAUCCCUUUGUACUUUAAAAUUCACCUUUCAGCUAUAAAAUUUCUAAACCACAUUGUAAACUCGCCUAACACUUUAGUCCAUAAAAUAUAUAAUAAUGUAGAGAAAACAAGUAAAUGGGUUAACAUUGUAAAAGACUGGUUAAAUAAAUUAGGUUUUGGUCAUCUCACUUUUAAUACUUUUAAUUUAAAAUAUCACAUAAAUAGUAUCCAACAAAGAAUCUAUGACCAGGCUUAUCAAAUUAUGAAUUGUUCUAUCAAUAAAUGUGAAAAAUUAAAUUUCUUUUGUCAUACUAAAAGAAUUAGAAAAAGGCCCCCAUAUAUUGAUAUAUGUAAAUUCAAAACCGACCGAUCAGUUUUCAGUAAAUUUAAACUAAGUGCGCAUUCCCUAGCAAUUGAAAGAGGGCGUUAUACCAACAUUGAAAGAAGUAAACGCAUUUGCUUAUCCUGUAACAGACAAGAAAUUGAGGAUGAAUACCAUUUCUUCUCAAUCUGUCCAUGCUAUAAAUCAUUAAGGGAUACCUAUAUACAAAAUAUUAAUAAAAAUCUUAAUUUCAAUUUUAUUAAAUUGCAGUCCACUAUAACACUAAAUCAUUUGACUGUACUUUUAAAUAGCAGUCUACCAGUCAUUAUAAAAAUCACCAUAAAGUAUAUUAAUGAUUGUCUUUUAUUAAGAACAUCUGUA
This 921-nucleotide long non-coding RNA is filed under the name Mytilus galloprovincialis (Mediterranean mussel). The record is from RNAcentral. Lineage: Eukaryota; Metazoa; Mollusca; Bivalvia; Mytilida; Mytilidae.